AGUAAGGAGGCGGGCCUGGAUGUGGCCGGGGAUUGGCUCUGGGGUCUGGGCUAAAGGUGCCAGGGAGAGGACACGCCUGAAGUGAGUGUGAAAGAGGCUUGUGCAAGUAUUUGUCACCUGUGACGGGGGAAAAAAAGCGGACAGAAACUUUCCCUCCCUGAACAGUAGUGAAUUUGAUCAGAGAACCGUGAAUGAAAGCGGGAUGCGAGACUGAAGGAGGAAGAUAUGCGAUACUUCAACAACAACAACAAAAAACAAAAGUAAGGACAGAAAAUGGAGGAAAAAGAACACCGUGCUUCACUCCUUUGGGGAGGGCGGUGUUAGUGAAUGGCAAGUUUCUGAUAAGAAUUCGUGUUGAUUCACUUGUAUUUUACGGAGAUGAGAGGAUAAAGACAUUUUAUGAGAGCAGUAUUAACAUUGUUAUUCAGACCUACAGGAAAGAGCAAAACCAAAUUUUGAAGGAACAUACUGUAGUUGACACAGUGACCUUUUUUUCUGUCUUUAUGCAAGAUUAUUAAAUGAUUUUGUCGCUUCAUCAUGCUUAAGAAUGACUU
This is a non-coding RNA of Heterocephalus glaber (naked mole-rat), 554 nucleotides long. The record is from RefSeq and is a predicted model, not a curated record. NCBI's taxonomy places the organism in Eukaryota, Metazoa, Chordata, Mammalia, Rodentia, Bathyergidae.